Molecule: ribosomal RNA, 406 nt
Filed under: Hazenella coriacea
Lineage: Bacteria; Bacillati; Bacillota; Bacilli; Caryophanales; Thermoactinomycetaceae
Description: bacterial SSU rRNA
Rfam family: Bacterial small subunit ribosomal RNA
Source: RNAcentral
AGUUGGGCACUCUAGAGAGACAGCCGGUGAAAGCCGGAGGAAGGUGGGGAUGACGUCAAAUCAUCAUGCCCCUUAUGUCCUGGGCUACACACGUGCUACAAUGGCUGGUACAAUGGGUCGCUAUCCCGCGAGGGGACGCUAAUCCCAUAAAACCAGUCUCAGUUCGGAUCGCAGGCUGCAACUCGCCUGCGUGAAGCCGGAAUCGCUAGUAAUCGCGGAUCAGCAUGCCGCGGUGAAUACGUUCCCGGGCCUUGUACACACCGCCCGUCACACCACGAGAGUUUGCAACACCCGAAGUCGGUGACGUAACCGCAAGGAACGAGCCGCCGAAGGUGGGGCAGAUGAUUGGGGUGAAGUCGUAACAAGGUAUCCCUACCGGAAGGUGGGGAUGGAUCACCUCCUUUCU